AGACAGGAGGUUCUGACAUCUGUCACUCCAUCAAUUACCAGGAUUAAUUUGGUUGAUCUGGCUGGCUAAGCAAUUGUCCCCUUCUUCUCUCACCAAUCCAUGUGUGUCCCUCCUGAAGCUAACACCCUUUGUUGAAACAGAUGAGUGUCCCCAAAAGAAGAUGAUCAACACUCCACAUUGCAAUUACUGCCUUCUCCUCCUCCCCUGAGCAUGUCCUGGACCAGGUGUCACUGUUU
RNAcentral lists this small RNA (236 nucleotides) under Jaculus jaculus (lesser Egyptian jerboa). Its description in RNAcentral is "7SK RNA (ENSJJAG00000006786.1)". The stretch from base 1 to 164 matches the Rfam family "7SK RNA", at positions 8 to 171 of the family's 331-position model. Rfam says of the family: 7SK was discovered as an abundant small nuclear RNA in the mid-70s but a possible function has only recently been suggested. Two independent studies have found that 7SK RNA binds the CDK9/cyclin T complex (known as elongation factor P-TEFb). The record is from RNAcentral. Lineage: Eukaryota; Metazoa; Chordata; Mammalia; Rodentia; Dipodidae.